GCCCGCGUGGCGGAACGGUAGACGCAGCGGACUUAAAAUCCGUUGUUCGGUAGGACGUGUGGGUUCGAAUCCCUCCGCGGGCACCA
This 86-nucleotide transfer RNA is filed under the name Holosporaceae bacterium. Its description in RNAcentral is "tRNA-Leu". It matches the Rfam family "tRNA". Rfam says of the family: Transfer RNA (tRNA) molecules are approximately 80 nucleotides in length. Their secondary structure includes four short double-helical elements and three loops (D, anti-codon, and T loops). The record is from RNAcentral. Lineage: Bacteria; Pseudomonadati; Pseudomonadota; Alphaproteobacteria; Holosporales; Holosporaceae.